UACGGGGGGGGCAAGCGUUGUUCGGAAUUACUGGGCGUAAAGGGCUCGUAGGCGGCCAACUAAGUCAGACGUGAAAUCCCUCGGCUUAACCGGGGAACUGCAUCUGAUACUGGAUGGCUUGAGUUCGGGAGAGGGAUGCGGAAUUCCAGGUGUAGCGGUGAAAUGCGUAGAUAUCUGGAGGAAUACCGGUGGCGAAGGCGGCAUCCUGGACCGGCAUUGACGCUGAGGCGCGAAAGCUAGGGGAGCAAACGGG
RNAcentral lists this ribosomal RNA (253 nucleotides) under uncultured bacterium. RNAcentral describes it as "partial 16S ribosomal RNA". It matches the Rfam family "Bacterial small subunit ribosomal RNA", at positions 524 to 776 of the family's 1533-position model. The record is from RNAcentral.